AUAAGCAUUAUACGGCGAAACUGCGAAUGGCUCAUUAUAUAAGUUAUCGUUUAUUUGAUAGCACAUUACUACUUGGAUAACCGUGGUAAUUCUAGAGCUAAUACACGCUAAAAAUCCCGACUUCGGAAGGGACGUAUUUAUUAGAUUAAAAACCAAUGCCCUCUGGGCUCUCUGGUGAAUCAUGAUAACUGCUCGAAUCGCAGGGCCUCGUGCCGGCGAUGGUUCAUUCAAAUUUCUUCCCUAUCAACUUUCGAUGUUUGGGUAUUGGCCAAACAUGGUUACAACGGGUAACGGAGGGUUAGGGCUCGACCCCGGAGAAGGAGCCUGAGAGACGGCUACUACAUCCAAGGAAGGCAGCAGGCGCGCAAAUUACCCAAUCCCGACACGGGGAGGUAGUGACAAUAAAUACUGAUACAGGGCUCUUUCGGGUCUUGUAAUUGGAAUGAGUACAAUUUAAAUCCCUUAACGAGGAACAAUUGGAGGGCAAGUCUUGGC
Molecule: ribosomal RNA, 495 nt
Filed under: Pleurocordyceps nipponica
Lineage: Eukaryota; Fungi; Ascomycota; Sordariomycetes; Hypocreales; Polycephalomycetaceae
Description: SSU rRNA
Rfam family: Eukaryotic small subunit ribosomal RNA
Source: RNAcentral